RNAcentral lists this long non-coding RNA (240 nucleotides) under Setaria italica (foxtail millet). RNAcentral's name for it is "long non-coding RNA (SITA_LNC001224)". Lineage: Eukaryota; Viridiplantae; Streptophyta; Magnoliopsida; Poales; Poaceae. The record is from RNAcentral.
CGCCAUCAAGAAGAUAUUAUGAUAUAAGCAAAAGACAAAGCAAGUUGUCAAGUUUUGCAAUUUAUAAAAGUAUCACUACAUGAGCAAGCACCUAGUCAUGAAUCAUUCAACCAAGAAGCAAACUAGGCCAUCAGAGCUCAUACAAGGAAGAUACAUUCUCAACAAGAGAUCAUUGCAAACACUCACAUAUGCAUCACCAGUCAUGUCAAGGCUUGUUGAAACCAUGUGCCUAUUUCUUUU